GUGCCAGCCGCCGCGGUAAUACGUAGGUGGCGAGCGUUGUCCGGAAUUACUGGGCGUAAAGGGCGUGUAGGCGGCCAUUUAAGUCAGAUGUGAAAUACCAUGGCUUAACCAUGGGACUGCAUUUGAGACUGGAUGGCUUGAGGAUCGGAGAGGGCAGUGGAAUUCCCAGUGUAGCGGUGAAAUGCGUAGAUAUUGGGAGGAACACCAGUGGCGAAGGCGACUGCCUGGACGACACCUGACGCUGAGGCGCGAAAGCUAGGGGAGCAAACGGGAUUAGAUACCCCGGUAGUCCUAGCCGUAAACGAUGGGUACUAGGUGUGGGAGGUAUCGACCCCUUCCGUGCCGCAGUUAACACAAUAAGUACCCCGCCUGGGGAGUACGGCCGCAAGGUUGAAACUCAAAUGAAUUGACGG
RNAcentral lists this ribosomal RNA (413 nucleotides) under uncultured bacterium. Its description in RNAcentral is "bacterial SSU rRNA". It matches the Rfam family "Bacterial small subunit ribosomal RNA", at positions 505 to 916 of the family's 1533-position model. The record is from RNAcentral.